RNAcentral lists this ribosomal RNA (519 nucleotides) under uncultured bacterium. RNAcentral's name for it is "bacterial SSU rRNA". It matches the Rfam family "Bacterial small subunit ribosomal RNA", at positions 9 to 526 of the family's 1533-position model. The record is from RNAcentral.
GAGUUUGAUCCUGGCUCAGGAUGAACGCUGGCGGCGUGCUUAACACAUGCAAGUCGAACGAAGCACUUUAUUUGAUUUCCUUCGGGAAUGAUUAUUUUGUGACUGAGUGGCGGACGGGUGAGUAACGCGUGGGUAACCUGCCUUGUACUGGGGGAUAGCAGCUGGAAACGGCUGGUAAUACCGCAUAAGCGCACAAUGUUGCAUGACAUGGUGUGAAAAACUCCGGUGGUAUAAGAUGGACCCGCGUCUGAUUAGGUAGUUGGUGGGGUAACGGCCUACCAAGCCGACGAUCAGUAGCCGACCUGAGAGGGUGACCGGCCACAUUGGGACUGAGACACGGCCCAGACUCCUACGGGAGGCAGCAGUGGGGAAUAUUGCACAAUGGAGGAAACUCUGAUGCAGCGACGCCGCGUGAAGGAUGAAGUAUUUCGGUAUGUAAACUUCUAUCAGCAGGGAAGAAAAUGACGGUACCUGACUAAGAAGCUCCGGCUAACUACGUGCCAGCAGCCGCGGUAAUUC